RNAcentral lists this ribosomal RNA (405 nucleotides) under uncultured bacterium. RNAcentral's name for it is "partial 16S ribosomal RNA". It matches the Rfam family "Bacterial small subunit ribosomal RNA", at positions 28 to 526 of the family's 1533-position model. The record is from RNAcentral.
GACGAACGCUGGCGGCGUGCUUAACACAUGCAAGUCGAGCGGAGCUGCGAACGGGUGAGUAACUCGUGAGUAACUGCCCCCCUCUCUGGGAUAACAGUUGAAAACGGCUGCUAAUACCGGAUAGUUGGGGAUGACUCGCGUCCAAUCAGCUUGUUGGUGGGGUAGUGGCCUACCAAGGCGACGACGGGUAGCCGGCCUGAGAGGGCGACCGGCCUCAAUGGGCUGCGAUACGGACCAAACUCCAACGGGAGGCAUCAGGGGGGAAUAUUGCACAAUGGGGGAAACCCUGAUGCAGAAACGCCGCGUGCGGGAUGACGGCCUUCGGGGUGUAAACCGCUUUCAGCCAUGACGCGGUAGUGGCAGAAGAAGCACCGGCUAACUACGUGCCAGCAGCCGCGGUAAUUC